CAGGAACUGAAACUGGGAACACCGGAGCACAGGAUGAGUUCCUAAGAAAGAAAGGACAGAGGAGCUAGACAAGAGGAGUUGGCCAGCCUCUCACCAGCUCAGUGUGCUCCUCUGUGGGAAUCCAUCAAGAGCCAAGAGCAGCUACCUCGGGUUUUGACACCAACUCUGGAGGACCUGUGCGGUAGAUUCAUAACGUCCUCCUGGGCUCUACAGCAGCUUGCAAUGGCUACAAAUCAAGUGGAUGCAGCCUUUACUCCUCACCUGGGAUUGACGUGUUCCGUUGUUUUCGUGGGGAGACCUGGAAGUCUGUUGGUAGCAGACCCAGGGAAUGGCUCCAGCUGGCUUGCCAGCUGGAUAGAUGGAAUCUGUUUAGUCCAUCCCUGGGAUACUGAAAUUGUCUUCAAUUCAGAUAUGGGGGUGAUUUGCAAAAAAACUGUGAGCCCUGUAUAAUGGAACAAGCAUCCAUGAAAAUUGCUGGGGACCAGUUCAAUUGAGAACAGUUUGCUGACCUGUCUUGACGGAUGACCAGUCCUCAUCAGCUGACAGGCUCCUACAGAAUCCAUGGCAUGCAACACCUAACCACUUAAAAUGCUGAUGUCCUCUCAAGGUCAGAAAGCUGGGCCAGCACAGCAAGGAUGGGCUGUCUCUGCUCCAGGGCAACCCAGGAUUCUGCUUGGAGGCUUAACUACCACGAUGAAUACCUGGAGGAUGGAUUCUACAGUAUUUUCCUCCUCACCUGUGUAAGACAGGACUGUUAGGACUGUUGCUGGGAUGCUCCAUGGCUACCUCAUUUGGUUUGGGCCUUCUCAUAGUGGGGCCUUCUUGGGAUAGUCAGAAACUUUUGAAUGGUGGUCCAGGAUUCUGAGGGCAAGGGUUUUGGCUAACAGGCAGAACUUCAUCACAAUCUCUCAUUGUUUGCAAUUAUGGCGUGUGGAUGUUGAUCAAAGCAGUCAUCAACCUACCUUGCAUCAAGAGGCAGAGACCCAAACCCCACUUCUUCAUGGGAACGAUUUCAAAACAGACAAAUUUACAAUGUGGACUGGUUAUCACUAAUCGUCCUCAUCCAAACAGCAUAAAGCAGCCGUUCAGCUCAAGGAGGAGAUUUCAUUUCAACUCCAGCUUCCAAGAUGUGUCUGGGUCUCAAGCCACUGUAACCAGCAGGGUGAGACACAGACUUCAUGAGCUGUUGGCUAAACUGCGCCUUGCAGCAGGAGGAGGAAAUGGAGAGCACAGAAGCAGCCCUGGGAAGCCACGCCAUGGAUACUCUCCACGUUCGCUUCAGACACUAAUCUAGAAUCCUGACUGAUGCUCCCAUGUCGAAGUGUGAGCUGUAGUUAGAAACUGGCUGUGACCUCAGUACUGGGAAGGCUUUCCCGAAAGUUCCAGCUGAAACACUUUCUCCUCCAG
Non-coding RNA from Peromyscus maniculatus bairdii (prairie deer mouse), 1407 nucleotides. The record is from RefSeq and is a predicted model, not a curated record. Lineage: Eukaryota; Metazoa; Chordata; Mammalia; Rodentia; Cricetidae.